Molecule: non-coding RNA, 238 nt
Organism: Pelobates cultripes (western spadefoot toad)
Lineage: Eukaryota; Metazoa; Chordata; Amphibia; Anura; Pelobatidae
Source: the annotation of a GenBank genome assembly
CUGCCAUUACGGUAAGUAUGAAAUAAUUUUCCAGAAUUUGCAGAUAUCCCCAAUUGUGACAUUGGUGGCUGUAAGGAGGGGCAGGAAAAGGGGAGUUCUACUUAUCUGACCCUGUCCCUCGUGGGUGUGGCCAUCUACCUCCGUAAGGCCCUCUUCAGCUCCUGAAACAUAUACAAGAGUACAGCAGAGAGGUCUAUUGAGGAUCAUGAGGGAUCCUUCAUAGACAGAGCCAAAUCCA